Molecule: ribosomal RNA, 489 nt
Filed under: uncultured bacterium
Lineage: Bacteria
Description: partial 16S ribosomal RNA
Rfam family: Bacterial small subunit ribosomal RNA
Source: RNAcentral
AUUGAACGCUGGCGGCAGGCCUAACACAUGCAAGUCGAACGGUAACAGGAAGAAGCUUGCUUCUUUGCUGACGAGUGGCGGACGGGUGAGUAAUGUCUGGGAAACUGCCUGAUGGAGGGGGAUAACUACUGGAAACGGUAGCUAAUACCGCAUAACGUCGCAAGACCAAAGAGGGGGACCUUCGGGCCUCUUGCCAUCGGAUGUGCCCAGAUGGGAUUAGCUAGUAGGUGGGGUAACGGCUCACCUAGGCGACGAUCCCUAGCUGGUCUGAGAGGAUGACAAGCAACACUGAACUGAGACACGGUCCAGACUCCUACGGGAGGCAGCAGUGGGGAAUAUUACACAAUGGGCGCAAGCCUGAUGCAGCCAUGCCGCGUGUAUGAAGAAGGCCUUCGGGUUGUAAAGUACUUUCAGCGGGGAGGAAGGGAGUAAAGUUAAUACCUUUGCUCAUUGACGUUACCCGCAGAAGAAGCACCGGCUAACUCCGUG